UUGUUGGAUUCCUCUGGGAGAAAGCUUCAACAGCACCAGAUAAUUUUUCCCAAUCUCUUUCCCAACCGAAAUGAGUAAGUAUUUGUCAUCUAUAUCUUUGUCAUCCGAAAUCAUUGAAGUAAGUAUUUUUCUUUUGUCAAAUUAUAAUACUUUACAAUAUCAUUGUAGUCUAAUGUGAUAAUUCAUUUUCUUUUUGUAGGUUUUAUCUAUGUUUUCUGAUCAAUUAGAGGAUAAAUGUUCUCCUUUCACUAGAAUGCAAACUUUUAAGUUAAUAUGUGAUGCAUCUUCCUCCUCUGCAUGCCUCAGGAUGUAAAAGAAUAUUUAUUUGGUGCAUCUUGUUGAUUUAAUUUACAUGGAUGUGAAGGAGCAAAAUGGAAAAACCAAUAUCGUUGAUGUCUUUUUGCGGAGAAGUUAAACGGAAUUAGAUGUUAUAAAAUGGCUUCAUUGACUCUUUCAUUGUCUGGAUCAUGAGGAAUUGUACUUGCCAGUGAUAUAAUCACCAAUGACCAGAAUAGCAUUGCUUCUGGUGAUGGACCAAAAACAUCAAAUUCUUCAUUAAAAAAAAGUAGUUUUUUUUUCCUUUUCCU
Molecule: small RNA, 587 nt
Filed under: Vigna angularis var. angularis
Lineage: Eukaryota; Viridiplantae; Streptophyta; Magnoliopsida; Fabales; Fabaceae
Description: Non-protein coding transcript
Source: RNAcentral